UCUACAGGUGUUGCAUGGCUGUCGUCAGCUCGUGUCGUGAGAUGUCGGUUAAGUCCGCUAACGAGCGCAACCCUCGCUGUGUGUUACAAGUGUCACACGGUACUGCCGAUAUUAAGUCGGAGGAAGUGGGGAUGACGUCAAGUCAGCAUGACCUUUAUAUCCAGGGCUACACACACGCUACAAUGGCCAGUACAAUGGGUUGCCAAGCCGCGAGGCGGAGCCAAUCCUAAAAAGCUGGCCUCAGUUCAGAUUGCAGUCUGCAACUCGACUGCAUGAAGUUGGAGUUGCUAGUAACCGCAGGUCAGCAAUACUGCGGUGAAUACGUUCCCGGGGAUU
Molecule: ribosomal RNA, 336 nt
Filed under: uncultured Anaerolineaceae bacterium
Lineage: Bacteria; Bacillati; Chloroflexota; Anaerolineae; Anaerolineales; Anaerolineaceae
Description: bacterial SSU rRNA
Rfam family: Bacterial small subunit ribosomal RNA
Source: RNAcentral